This 446-nucleotide ribosomal RNA is filed under the name uncultured bacterium. RNAcentral's name for it is "partial 16S ribosomal RNA". It matches the Rfam family "Bacterial small subunit ribosomal RNA", at positions 338 to 795 of the family's 1533-position model. The record is from RNAcentral.
CCUACGGGAGGCAGCAGUCGAGAAUCAUUCACAAUGGGGGAAACCCUGAUGGUGCGACGCCGCGUGGGGGAAUGAAGGUCUUCGGAUUGUAAACCCCUGUUAUGUGGGAGCAAAUUAAAAAGAUAGUACCACAAGAGGAAGAGACGGCUAACUCUGUGCCAGCAGCCGCGGUAAUACAGAGGUCUCAAGCGUUGUUCGGAAUCACUGGGCGUAAAGCGUUCGUAGGCUGUUUCGUAAGUCGUGUGUGAAAGGCCCGGGCUCAACCCGCGGACGGCACAUGAUACUGCGAGACUAGAGUAAUGGAGGGGGAACCGGAAUUCUCGGUGUAGCAGUGAAAUGCGUAGAUAUCGAGAGGAACACUCGUGGCGAAGGCGGGUUCCUGGACAUUAACUGACGCUGAGGCACGAAGGCCAGGGGAGCGAAAGGGAUUAGAUACCCCAGUAGUC